UGAGGGGGGUUGUAGUUGGUAGACCUUCAGCGCCUCGGUCACGGAGGGAAUCCAACACCACCCGUUCGCACAGACGGUCGGGUGUCUUUCGAAAAUUUUCCCUCCUCA
Non-coding RNA from Agrilus planipennis (emerald ash borer), 108 nucleotides. Lineage: Eukaryota; Metazoa; Arthropoda; Insecta; Coleoptera; Buprestidae. The record is from Rfam.